Long non-coding RNA from Gallus gallus (chicken), 518 nucleotides. NCBI's taxonomy places the organism in Eukaryota, Metazoa, Chordata, Aves, Galliformes, Phasianidae. The record is from Ensembl.
CGGCCCUGCCCUGCCUGCCUUCUGCCCUCGUGCCUGCCGCCCUUCCCGAAGUGAGGAAACGAAGUUGGGAUCCUUCUCAAGCCUCUUUAUUGCCCAUCCGACUUCGGAUCGACUGUAGCACGCGGGAGCCUUUGACUCGUUUCAGCAUGGCUGUGUCAUCGUGCAGUUCGUCCACCGAAAGCGUGCCCGGUGCGCUUUGCACAAGUGGUGCGGUCCGUUAGAGGCAAAAAACGUGCUGAAGGGCAUAUCACCAUCUCUACUUGUAAGACUCACCAGUAUUUUCUGAGGAGAUCAAUAUCUAAUCCUUGAAAAGGGAGGGACAGUGCUACCUGCCAUCUGUCAGCCUGCCAGAAAUUCUUGUGCCUAUCAGAGCAAGAGCUAAGGAUGUGACAUCUUUCUCCAUCAUCUUCUCAGAAUAUCCCUGAUUCAACGCAGGAGGCAUCAAAUCUUCUCUUCCAGGCUCUUCUCUUCCAGUCCCAGGUUUCUUAGCCUUUCCUCAUAUGGGAGAUGCUCCAGGC